GUUCUUAACAGACACCUAACAAAUGUCAGGUCGCUUCCAGCAUACAGACUCCGUGCAACAAAGGAGCAUUUAAGUCGCGUUCAGCCAGCGUUCCUCAGCGCCUCCAGGCGAGUUUAACCUGACAGGAGACAUGUAACUGAAAUGAGUUACACUGGGACUUUCGCCCUCAGACUCAGGCUCUCUGUCCAGUCCACCCAGAGCGGUGAGCCUCCAGGAGGGACCGGUCCUGAAGCCUGGAAAAACGCUACCUGUCAGUCACUGAAGCUCCAGAGAGCCUGAAGAGUCUGUCUGAGAAUAUAGGCAAAAAUUUGCGGACAUUUCGGAUGCUGUGGAGAUGCAGGCACAACCCACUA
Molecule: long non-coding RNA, 353 nt
Organism: Gambusia affinis (western mosquitofish)
Lineage: Eukaryota; Metazoa; Chordata; Actinopteri; Cyprinodontiformes; Poeciliidae
Exons: 4
Source: RefSeq, a predicted model, not a curated record